GUCUUUAAAAAAAAAAAAAAAAGCAAUUAAAAAAAAAAAUCACCCAAACCAAAAAUCAAAACCCCAAAACCUGACCUAAAAAGCCAUAAAAUGUGUGGUAGAGGGUUCACCUGAGCCUAAAGUGGGACUCUGGCACCAUGGGCUUCUGACCUGCACUGUCAGAUGGGCUGGGGGAGAAGGAUGAGGGAGCCGGGCACCGUGAAUGUGACCCUUGGUUUCUUCAUCUGUACAGAUGGUGGUUGCCUUGCCUCCCUCCCUCCAACACCGUGGAGAUCAAAUGAGAUAAGCAUUAGGUGGUGACAGCAUUGGAAGAAGUAGCUGUGAGUCAGGGAUUGAUUGAUUGAUUGAUUGAUUGAUUUGUCUUUUAGGGCCACACCCGUGGCAUAUGGAGAUUCCCAGGCUAGGGGUCAAAUCAGAGGUGCAGCUGUCAGCCUACACCACAGCCACAGCAAGGUGGGAUCUGAGCCAUGCCUUCGACCCACACCACAGUUCAUGGCAAUGCCGGAUCCUUAACCCAAUGAGCGAGGCCAAGGAUCGAACCUGCGUCCUCAUGAAUGCUAGUGGGUUUGUUAACCCCUGAGCCACGACCGGAACUCCGAAUCAGGGAUUUAUUAUUAUCCUCAUUGAUUCAGAUGAUCUGCCCCAUGCGAGGAAAGCUCCGGAUGCAGGGCUACACGGGUCUCCCUAAAAUAGGCCUUCUUUUCCAGGGCAGGAGUCCCCCAUCAUCCAAAGAUGCAUCUCACCCUCUGCUUUUUCUCUCUGAUUGCUCCAGCUCCGAAGCCCUCUGAAGUGCAUGGCUUCUUCCUUGCUGCAACCGCUUCCUGACCCUCCCCCGUGGCUUCCCAUCCAGGCUCCCCAACACUCAGACCAGCACCGUCCUCCACUGCCAAAGCCAAGGCCACCAGAGCCGGUAUUGGGAGAAAAGGUUGCCCAUGAUGUACUGGGAGCCUGGUCAGUGAUUCAGAAGCAGAGGGAUGCAAGAGAGAGCUUUGGAGGUCAGCCAACAGAUCCCUCAAAACACAGAUGCUCCAUUCUUCUUUAGUCUAUGGGGCAGCCCCUUCUGAAUCUGCAGAUCACGGAAUGUUACUAGGCAAGCCAUGGGUGCCCCGCUCUCCUCUCCGGGGUUUAGGAGUGAGGGCUCCCAAGCUUGCUGGACACAAGGUCUGUAUCCAAGAUUCAGGUGAAUUUUUAUAUACUAGAAACAAAUUAGCAGAAGUAAAAAUUGGGGAAAGGUAAGAAUGGAUUGGGAGCUUGGGAUUGGCAUAUGCACAUAAUAGUGUAUGGAAUGGGUGGCCAAUACAACAUAUUUCCUUGUAUAGCACAGGGAAGUCUACUCAUUAUUCUGUGAUCACCUAUAUGGGAACGGAUGUGUGUGUGUAUAAUUGAAUCACUUUGCUGGACAGCAUAAAUUUACACAACAUUGUAAAUCAAUGAUACUUCAAUACAGUUAAAAACGGUUAAACUAUUUUGAGAUAGCAUUUACUAUGUUUAAUGUGUCAGAGCACACAUCUACUCCUUUGGGGUUUGUAUUUUGUAUCUUCUUCAAUAAAUCUUCCCCUGUUCUAAAAUCA
Molecule: long non-coding RNA, 1571 nt
Filed under: Sus scrofa (pig)
Lineage: Eukaryota; Metazoa; Chordata; Mammalia; Artiodactyla; Suidae
Description: lncRNA (ENSSSCG00055018879.1)
Source: RNAcentral